Molecule: ribosomal RNA, 320 nt
Filed under: uncultured eukaryote
Lineage: Eukaryota
Description: partial 18S ribosomal RNA
Rfam family: Eukaryotic small subunit ribosomal RNA
Source: RNAcentral
CCCCUAGAUGUUCUGGGCCGCACGCGCGCUACACUGAACAGUUCAACAAGUCUUAACCUUGGCCGAUAGGUCUGGGUAGUCUUUGAACGCUGUUCGUGAUUGGGAUAGACCUUUGCAAUUAUGGGUCUUCAACGAGGAAUUCCUAGUAAACGCAAGUCAUCAGCUUGCAUUGAUUACGUCCCUGCCCUUUGUACACACCGCCCGUCGCACCUACCGAUUGAAUGGUCCGGUGAAAUCUCGGGACGGCGGCUUGGUCGCUUGCGUCCGACUGCUGAAACUUGAUUAAACCAUAUCAUUUAGAGGAAGGUGAANUCGUANCA